Molecule: ribosomal RNA, 2092 nt
Filed under: hot springs metagenome
Description: bacterial LSU rRNA
Rfam family: Bacterial large subunit ribosomal RNA
Source: RNAcentral
AAGGUGAAAAAGCACCCCGGGAGGGGAGUUAAAAGUCCCUGAAACCGCGUGCCUACAAACCGUCGGGGCCUGCCUUCGGGCGGGUGACGGCGUGCCUAUUGAAGAAUGAGCCGGCGAGUGAAUCUCAGUGGCCUGGUUAAGCAAGGGAGCUUGCGGAGCCGUAGCGAAAGCGAGUCCGAACAGGGCGCGUCCGCCUUAGGGCGGGAGUCGCUGGGAUUCAGCCCGAAACCGAGUGAGCUACUCAUGGCCAGGGUGAAGCUUCGAUAGUAUCGGAGUGGAGGCCCGAACCAUUAGACGGUGCAAAGUCUCUGGAUGAGCUGUGAGUAGAGGUGAAAUGCCAAUCGAACUCGGAGAUAGCUGGUUCUCCCCGAAAUGCAUUGAGGUGCAGCCUCAGCAGACGUCUCCUGGAGGUAGGGCACUGAAUGGGCUAGGGGGCUACCCGCUUACCAAACCCAAUCAAACCACGAAUGCCAGGAGAUAGGGCUGGGAGUGAGCCCGUGGGGGAUAAACUUCACGGACAAAAGGGGAACAACCCAGACCACCGGCUAAGGUCCCGAAGUGUGCGCUAAGUGGGAAAGGAUGUGAGAUAGCCCAGACAGCCAGGAGGUUGGCUUAGAAGCAGCCACCCUUUAAAGAGUGCGUAACAGCUCACUGGUCGAUGCCGUCUCGCGCCGAAAAUCCAACGGGGCUAAAGCGCACCACCGAAGCCGUGGUCCUCCCGCGGAAGCGGGGGGAGGUAGGGGAGCGUUCCGUCCAGCGGUGAAGCCGGGCCGUAAGGCAGGGUGGAGCGGACGGAAGUGAGAAUGCCGGCAUGAGUAGCAAAAGGCGAGUGAGAAUCUCGCCCACCGAAAGCCUAAGGUUUCCUACGGAAGGAUCGUCCGCGUAGGGUUAGGCGGGCCUAAGGAUAAGGCGUAGAGCCGAGGCCGAUGGACAGACGGUUAUUAUUCCGUCCCCGUCUGCAUGGCGUUAUGAGACGAAGGGGGGACCCAGGAGGGUAGGCUGAGCGGGCCGACUGGACAUGGUCCGUCCCUGGCUUGUAGGCGUCCGGAGGGAGGCAAAUCCCUCUCCGGGUUAAGCUGAGGGGCCGGGGGGAGGAGGAGAUUCGUCAAAUCCAACUCAGUUGAGCCCACGCUGGCUAGAAAAGCCUCGUCGUCCAGUCAUGCAGGCGCCCGUACCGCAAACCGACACAGGUAGGCUGGGGUAAGCGCCCUCAGGUGGUUGAGUGAUCCCCCCUCAAGGAACUCGGCAAUUUGGCCUCGUAACUUCGGGAGAAGAGGUGCCUCGGCCCGUGAAGCCGCUAGCCGGCGGAGCGGGCGGAGGCCGCAGCGAAGCGGCCCUGACGACUGUUUAACAAAAACACAGGUCUCUGCCAAAGCGAAAGCUGAGGUAUAGGGGCUGACACCUGCCCGGUGCCGGAAGGUUAAGGGGAGGGCUGAUGAGGCCCAAACCGAAGCCCCGGUGAACGGCGGCCGUAACUAUAACGGUCCUAAGGUAGCGAAAUUCCUUGUCGGGUAAGUUCCGACCCGCACGAAAGGUGUCACGAGUGGGGCACUGUCUCGAGGGGGGGCUCAGCGAAAUUGCAGGACCCGUGAAGAUGCGGGUUACCCGCUGCAGGACAAAAAGACCCCGUGGAGCUUUACUGCAGCUUGGCGUUGAAGGCGGGCCUGGGAUGCGUAGGAUAGGUGGGAGGCUGUGAAGCCCUUCCUCCGGGAAGGGUGGAGCCGUCCUUGAAAUACCACUCUUCUCAGGUCUUCCUCCUAACCCCGCCCUCGGCGGGAGACAGCGCCUGGUGGGCAGUUUGACUGGGGCGGUCGCCUCCUAAAAGGUAACGGAGGCGUCCAAAGGUCCCCUCAGGCUGGAUGGAAAUCAGCCGCCGAGCGCAUUGGUAUAAGGGGGCUUGACUGUGAGGCCUACAAGCCGAACAGGGACGAAAGUCGGGCAAAGUGACCCUACGGUUCCGUGUGGAAGGGCCGUGGAUCAUCGGAUAAAAGCUACCCCGGGGAUAACAGGCUGAUCUCUCCCAAGCGUUCACAGCGACGGGGAGGUUUGGCACCUCGAUGUCGGCUCGUCGCAUCCUGGGGCUGGAGUAGGU